This 3975-nucleotide long non-coding RNA is filed under the name Homo sapiens (human). Its description in RNAcentral is "HSALNT0396661". Lineage: Eukaryota; Metazoa; Chordata; Mammalia; Primates; Hominidae. The record is from RNAcentral.
AAAAACCCUUCUACAUGCCCCCGAUGUAAAAAGGGGAAACACUGGGCAAAUCAAUGCAAGUCCAAAUUUGAUAAAAAUGUCAACCCCCUAAGCAAUCAGGUGGGACAUUUCAUGAGGGGCUGGCCCCAGGCCCCAUUCCACACUGGGGCAAUGCCAGUGGCUUUCCUCGGUUAGAUGGAAAGCCCACAGUCCUCUCUUUCAGAGCAGCCACCUUGGGGAGCGCAGGACUGGACUUACUCUGCCCUGACAAAUUAGUGCUAAAAGAAGGAGAACACCCUAAAGGGUUGCAACAGGGAUCUGGGGUCCACUGCCUCUGGGAACAGUGGGACUGGUCCUAGUGCGAUGAAACCUAUCCAGUAAAGGAGUCAAUGUGCUCACUGGGGUAAUUGAUAGUGAUUACCAAGAUGAGAUAUUAAUUAUGAUUUAAUGUAAAGGUCUACAUAUUCUUCCCCCUAAAUCUAAAAUAGCUCAGUUACUACUCUUACCAUACUGGGUUCCCAAUGCCCAGGGAAAGGAAAGGGGACAAGGAGGUUUUGGAAACACGGAAGCCACAGGAGUAUAUUGGAACCAAUCAAUCACUGAUCAGAGACUCAUGAUUACCUUAAAAAUUGAAAAUAAAAAUUUUACUGGCCUAUUGGACACAGGGUGAACAUUUUGAUCAUCAGUGAUGAAAACUGGCCAGAAACUUGGCCUUGGGUCACUCAGAAACAAAAAAUUGUCAUCAUCAGGGAAGUGCACACAGCCAAGCAGAGCACACACCCCUUAAUAUGUCAUGAUUCAGAGAGAAGGAAAGCAGUUAUACAACCUCAAAUCAUGCCCAUCCCAGUUAAUAUUUGUGGAUGGGACCUAUUAGCCCAAUGGGGGGUUACUCUGCAGACCUCUUUCUAAUAAUGGCCACUGUUGUUAUUCCUCCCCUACCCCUGACGUGGCUCUCUCAAGAUCCAAUUUAGGUAGAACAGUGGCCUUUGAAGGGAGAGAAAUUACAAUGAGCCCAUAAAUUAGUUGAGGAGCCAUUAAAAGCUGGCCAUUUAGAACCAUCAGACAGCCCUUGGAAUUCACCUAUUUUCGUCAUUCCCAAAAAGUCUGGUAAAUGGAAACUUGUGCAUGACUUAUGUGCUAUCAAUGCUAAUUUGUAACCUGUGGGGCCCCUUCAACAGGGGCUCCCUUUCCCCACGGUGAUUCCUCAAGAUUGGCCUAUAUUCAUUAUUGACUUAAAAGACUGCUUUUAUAUUAUUUCCCUUGCAGAACAGGAAAGAGAAAAAUUUGCAUUUACAAUACCAGCUAUAAAUAAUGAAAGGCCAGCUCCUCCAAUUCAUUGGAAAGUACUUCCUCAAGGAAUGCUAAACAGUCCUACCGUGUGUCAGUAUCAUGUAAAUCAGGCUUUGCUUCCCAGUAGAAAAGAAUUUCCUAAUUGCAAUAUCAUCUGGAUGACAUCUUACUGGUGGCCCCAAUGGAGCCAAUACUUUUGAGUUUAUAUGCCCCUGUCAAAAGGAAUACACAGUUAAGAGGUUUAAUCAUAGCACCUGAAAAGGUACAGAUGUCCUCCCCUUGGAAAUAUCUUAGAUACAUACUAACUUCCCGGUCAGUAAGACCUCAAAAUGUUAAAUACUAGCAACUUAUAUACCUUAAAUGAUUAUCAAAAAUUACUAGGCAAUAUUACCUGGCUUCACCCCACCUUGGACAUAACUACUGAUAAGUUGCAGAACCUGUUUUCUAUCCUAAAGGGCAAUGAAACCCUGGACACCCCCAGGUAUUUAACCUCCACUGCAAAUAGGGUAAUUGAGGAAAUAGAGCAAGCUAUUUCUCAUAGGAAACUAGAUUGCAUAGACCCACAAUAUUCAGUCCAGUUGUUUGUUUCUCCUACAAAACAUUCCCCAACAGGAUUAAUAGGACAGAUGGCCCCAGGGCUGUGCUUCCUAGAAUGGGUUUUUGCUCACACACUGGGACUAAAACACUGUCCCCCUAUAUCCAGCUAAUUGGUAAAGUCAUUUAUACAGGCCACAGAUGAUGCAAUCGAUUGCAAGGUUAUGACUCUGAUGUCAUAAGAAUACCCUUAAGUAAAAAACAAUUCGAAGGAGUCCUGCCCUUAUCUCUAGAUUUUUUCUUUUUUUUGAGACACAGUCUUGCUCUAUCACCUAGGCUGGAGUGCAGUGGUGCGAUCUCAGCUCACUGAAAGCUGCAAGCUCUGCCUCCUGGGUUCACGCCAUUCUCCUGCCUCAGCCUCCCUGAGUACCUAGGACUACAGGGGACCACCAUCACACCCGGCUAAUUUUUUUUGUAUUUUUAGUAGAGAUGGGCUUUCACUGUGUUAGCCAGGAUGGUCUCAAUCUCCUGACCUCGUGAUCUGCCUGCCUUGGCCUCCCAAAGUGUUGGGAUUACAGGCAUGAGCCACCGCACCCGACCUUAUCUCUAGUUCUUUAAAUAGCACUCUCUGAUUAUGUGGGCCAUAUAGAAAGUACCCUUCCCGCUGAUGAACUACUCUAGCUCUUAUACUCCUGUAAUUAUGCCUACAAAGGUAGUUCACUCCCCCAUACCUAAUGUGCUUUAACAGUUUUCACUGAUGGCUCUGGUAAAAAUGGAAAAGCAGCUAUCUGGUGGGAACCGCAUAACUUCCUCACUCGAUCUAGAUUUACUAGUACUCAGCUAAAGUUGGAGCCCUAGUAUUGGUCCUGGAAACCUUUUCCACUCAGCCCAUCAAUAUUGUUAAUGACUCUGCUUACUCCAUUUAUUUAUUGCAAAACCUUGAAACAGUCCUCAUUAAGUCAACUCUUGAGCCCACUCUGUGUGCCCUUUUUCUUUGACUUAAGAAAUUGCUACAUUAACAAACACAUCCUGUUUUUAUCACACACAUUUGGGCCCAAAGCUUGCUGCCCAGCCCACUAGUUCAUGACAGCAAUCAAGCAGACCUGCAGGUUAUGACGUCACUUGCUUGACCAAGCCACCCAAUCACACCAAUUUUUCCACCAAAACUGGAGAAACUUAACUAAACAAUUUCAAUUUACCCAAAGACUAGAUAAACAAAUUAUCCUGCAAUGCCCAGAUUGCCAGCUCACAGGCACAUCCCCUCCUUCAACAGAUGUUAACCUUAGAGGACUAGAACCUAAUCAGCAUGGCAAACAGAUGUUACACAUGUCCCUGAAUUUGGAAAACUAAGAUAUGUACAUGUAUCCAUUGAUACCUAUUCCCACCUAAUUAGCGCUCAUGUUCUUCCUGGAGAGUCCAUCCAAUAUGUCAUUAAACAUCUUCUCUUAACUUUUGCAUUUAUGAGGUGGCCCCCAAAAAAUUAAAACUGAUAAUGGUCCGGCUUAUGCCAGCUCACAGUUUCACCAAUUUUGUCACACAUGGAACAUCCUACAUUCCAAGACAUCCCAUAUAACCCCCAAGGACAGGCUAUAAUAAAAAGUGUCCACUCUGCCCUUAAAUAUGCUCAGAAAACAAAAAAGGGGAAAUAUGAGUAAGGACCCUGCAACACUUUUGGCACAAGCCUUAUUUACCCUGAGUUUCUUAAAUUUAGAUGAUAAAUUUCAAUCAGCUAUAGACAAGCACCUUGCAAAAAUCACUCAAGAUAUAAAACCUUCAGUUUUAUGGAAAGAUGUAAAUAGUAAUGUAUGGUGUGGUCCAGAUGAUUUGCUAACAUGGGGAAGAGGGUAUGCUCGUGUUCACACCCCCUCAGGUCCUCUUUGGAUUCCAGCACGAGGCAUCAGACCUUACCAUGGCUUGGCUAGGACCCAACUCGGUAUCAGAAAUGAAGGAAAUGACACUGCAGGACCUAACAGCCCUGGACGAUGUGGCUUCCUAGGACAACACAGACCCCGGACAUUAUGCUGAAGAAGAUAACUUAGGAGGCUGAGCUCCAUGACAAGUGGCACCAACAACAGGGACUUCAAGGACGUGACGAAGAAGGUCUGCUAGAGCAGAGGAAGUGAAAUUUACCAGAUGAACCGGGACCCCAGGACGAGUCUGUCAGCAGGGAAU